UCUAAGUUACACUGAUAUAUACAAGUGAGUGGUUAUUGCAAUUGUAACUGAUAAACUUUGUGAAAUGAACCUUUUCAGUUAAGCAUUAGGGCUCUAUGCUCACUAUGUUGAUUGAAAUUCAUUCUUUUGUAUCUAAACUUUGUGAAAUAAGCCUUCUCAGUUAAGUAUUGGGGCUCUACGCUCACUAUGUCGAUUGAAAUUCAUUCUGUUGUAUCUAAACUGGGAAGUAUUCUCUAACAAAUAGGAAGAAUUGAUGAUUCAGCAGUUUCCCUGUGGGUAAAUUGAAAAUAAACAAAUAAAAACAAACGUAUGAAAUUUUAAUGUUUGACAAUUUUUAUCAUUAACAAUCUCUCAUAGAAGAAUGUAUUUCAUUUAAAGUAUCUUCCAUUGUUGCCCUGAAGCAAUUCCUUGUUGCUAAGUAACUGUAGAAAAUUCAGUCAUACAUUGUCUUUGGGAAAUUGUUCUUGUUAUUAUUGUAGGAGAUUUUGUUUUUCUUCAGAGCCAUUUAGUAUGUAUAUCAUGUCACUUGAUAGCUUUUUAAAAAGAAUCAUGUUACUUAAUGGAUAUAUCCACACCUUUGUAUUGUAUUCUGAAGCCACAACAGGAACAUGUAUCUAAUCCUGUUGGUUUAGUUCAAACAAGGACUUCUCCACUGUUUAUUCUUUAUCGUCAAAGCUCUAUUUUUCCAGGCUAGAUGAAAUAUUAUUGUGUAGAGUGGUUAAUCAAAAUGAAUAGGAAAUUUUUUUUCUCCUUGAAACAAUCUUUUGUCAGUUUGGGAUUAUGUUGAUCUACUGCUGCGAAGGAAAUACCAUGAGUGCGACAAUUAGUGAGGAUUUACUGUAUCUUUGUUGGAAUUCUACUUGACGUAUUCUCUAGUGCAUUUUAGAUGAGUAGUUGUGCUUUAUUUCAAUUUUGUUCCUAAUAAUAUGUAAGAAGAAAGUAACAUUAUUUACUCUGUUGACCACUAGGAGAAAGGUUGAAUCUGUAGAACUAUUUUUGAAUCUCUUUCAUACUAUGCAAACUUGAUAAAAUUCAUACUUUACUUGGCAUAAGCUGUAGAACUAUUUUUUGGUGGUGGGCCUUUUCCGAGGUGUCAUGUAUUUUCUUUGGAGAAGAUGGUGAAGAUAAAAAGAAAGUGACAUUUUCCUGUUAUUUCCUUACUUCACACCUUGCUCUAGUGCAACUUUCUUCCCUUAGACGAUAAUUUGAGAGGGGCAUAGUCCUGAUUGAGGGGGAAAAGGGUUAAGUAUCCGGUGGUCUCUGUUGUUAACAUCACCAAAGAUUUAAUGUACUCUCUGGUAAUCUUUUACUGGUUCAUAAUGGUUGGUUAUAGAGUCAGGGACCGAGAGAAGUUGGACACUAUUGCCUUACCAUUCUUGACAAGCUUGAUGACCUUUUGACGCUUUUCUAUGUCCUGUAGUGUAGGACUUGCUAUCAAGCUUCAAAUAAUAUUUGCAGGAACCCAUUUGAAAGUGAACUUAUUUAGAAGGAACCAAAACUCCAAGAAUUUCCCUUGUUCUAGUUAUCUAGCUUUGUUAGCCAAGGCGAAAACCACCUUCCCCUUGGCUAUGUAACCUAUGUUGCUAUCGGAAAUGAUGGACUUGAUUAGUACUCUAGGUUUGGUUAGCUAAGACAGCUACUUUUAGAAUAAGAUAUGUAGACUUGAGAAACAACUACCAAAAUUAACUGACACCAGAACUGAGAUUGAACAUUCGAUGAUUUUGUUACUGAAUUGAAUGGCUUUCCUAUUGGUCUUCACGUAUAGAUUGCCUGCUGGUCCUAUUUAGUCAUGCUGCAGUAAUUUGGCCUGGUGUUUGCUUGUACGACAGCUUCUUUUCAUACCUUAAGCAAUUCU
Molecule: long non-coding RNA, 1855 nt
Filed under: Nicotiana benthamiana
Lineage: Eukaryota; Viridiplantae; Streptophyta; Magnoliopsida; Solanales; Solanaceae
Description: long non-coding RNA (NBEN_LNC011543)
Source: RNAcentral